UCUAGCUACAGGCUUAACACAUGCAAGUCGAGGGGCAGCAUGGUCUUAGCUUGCUAAGGCCGAUGGCGACCGGCGCACGGGUGAGUAACACGUAUCCAACCUGCCGUCUACUCUUGGACAGCCUUCUGAAAGGAAGAUUAAUACAAGAUGGCAUCAUGAGUCCGCAUGUUCACAUGAUUAAAGGUAUUCCGGUAGACGAUGGGGAUGCGUUCCAUUAGAUAGUAGGCGGGGUAACGGCCCACCUAGUCUUCGAUGGAUAGGGGUUCUGAGAGGAAGGUCCCCCACAUUGGAACUGAGACACGGUCCAAACUCCUACGGGAGGCAGCAGUGAGGAAUAUUGGUCAAUGGGUGAGAGCCUGAACCAGCCAAGUAGCGUGAAGGAUGACUGCCCUAUGGGUUGUAAACUUCUUUUAUAAAGGAAUAAAGUCGGGUAUGGAUACCCGUUUGCAUGUACUUUAUGAAUAAGGAUCGGCUAACUCCGUGCCAGCAGCCGCGGUAAUACGGAGGAUCCGAGCGUUAUCCGGAUUUAUUGGGUUUAAAGGGAGCGUAGAUGGAUGUUUAAGUCAGUUGUGAAAGUUUGCGGCUCAACCGUAAAAUUGCAGUUGAUACUGGAUAUCUUGAGUGCAGUUGAGGCAGGCGGAAUUCGUGGUGUAGCGGUGAAAUGCUUAGAUAUCACGAAGAACUCCGAUUGCGAAGGCAGCCUGCUAAGCUGCAACUGACAUUGAGGCUCGAAAGUGUGGGUAUCAAACAGGAUUAGAUACCCUGGUAGUCCACACGGUAAACGAUGAAUACUCGCUGUUUGCGAUAUACAGCAAGCGGCCAAGCGAAAGCGUUAAGUAUUCCACCUGGGGAGUACGCCGGCAACGGUGAAACUCAAAGGAAUUGACGGGGGCCCGCACAAGCGGAGGAACAUGUGGUUUAAUUCGAUGAUACGCGAGGAACCUUACCCGGGCUUAAAUUGCAGAUGAAUUACGGUGAAAGCCGUAAGCCGCAAGGCAUCUGUGAAGGUGCUGCAUGGUUGUCGUCAGCUCGUGCCGUGAGGUGUCGGCUUAAGUGCCAUAACGAGCGCAACCCUUGUUGUCAGUUACUAACAGGUCAUGCUGAGGACUCUGACAAGACUGCCAUCGUAAGAUGUGAGGAAGGUGGGGAUGACGUCAAAUCAGCACGGCCCUUACGUCCGGGGCUACACACGUGUUACAAUGGGGGGUACAGAGGGCCGCUACCACGCGAGUGGAUGCCAAUCCCAAAAACCUCUCUCAGUUCGGACUGGAGUCUGCAACCCGACUCCACGAAGCUGGAUUCGCUAGUAAUCGCGCAUCAGCCACGGCGCGGUGAAUACGUUCCCGGGCCUUGUACACACCGCCCGUCAAGCCAUGGGAGCCGGGGGUACCUGAAGUGCGUAACCGCGAGGAGCGCCCUAGGGUAAAACUGGUG
RNAcentral lists this ribosomal RNA (1434 nucleotides) under uncultured organism. Its description in RNAcentral is "SSU rRNA". It matches the Rfam family "Bacterial small subunit ribosomal RNA". The record is from RNAcentral.